ACACUCCUGCGGGAGGCAGCAGUGGGGAAUUUUACGCAAUGGGGGAAACCCUGACGUAGCGACACCGCGUGAGCGAAGAAGCCCUUUGGGGUGUAAAGCUCUGUCAGCUGGAACGAAAACAAUGACGGUACCAGCAGAGGAAGCAUCGGCUAACUACGUGCCAGCAGCCGCGGUAAGACGUAGGAUGCGAGCGUUGUCCGGAUUUAUUGGGCGUAAAGAGUUCGUAGGUGGUUUGUUAAGUUUGGUGUUAAAGAUCGGGGCUCAACCCUGGGACUGCACUGAAUACUGGCAGACUCGAGUGUGGUAGAGGCUAGUGGAAUUCCCAGUGUAGCGGUGAAAUGCGUAGAUAUUGGGAAGAACACCGGUGGCGUAGGCGACUAGCUGGGCCAUAACUGACGCUGAGGAACGAAAGCCAGGGGAGCGAAUGGGAUUAGAUACCCGGGUAGUCC
Molecule: ribosomal RNA, 449 nt
Filed under: uncultured organism
Description: partial 16S ribosomal RNA
Rfam family: Bacterial small subunit ribosomal RNA
Source: RNAcentral